GCCGGCGUAGCUCAGCAUUGGUUAGAGCGCCUGACUGUGGAUCAGGAGGUCAUGGGUUCGAGUCCCGUCGCCGGUACCA
RNAcentral lists this transfer RNA (79 nucleotides) under bacterium. RNAcentral's name for it is "tRNA-His". It matches the Rfam family "tRNA". From Rfam's summary of the family: Transfer RNA (tRNA) molecules are approximately 80 nucleotides in length. Their secondary structure includes four short double-helical elements and three loops (D, anti-codon, and T loops). RNAcentral also lists the same sequence under 1 other name. The record is from RNAcentral.